This 1171-nucleotide long non-coding RNA is filed under the name Heterocephalus glaber (naked mole-rat). RNAcentral's name for it is "lncRNA (ENSHGLG00000036368.1)". Lineage: Eukaryota; Metazoa; Chordata; Mammalia; Rodentia; Bathyergidae. The record is from RNAcentral.
CUAGAAACCGUCCAUGAUGCAGCCCUGCUUACCUCUGCAGCCUCAUUACUUCCAUUUCCCCUCUCAUGUAGAACUUCUCUCUUUGUCUGUCACACACCCACGGGGACCUACUGCUCCUCCUCUGUGCCCCUUCCUGGCCCAGACACACAGCCAGCCUUUCAGCCUGCCUAAGUGUAGCCCCUAGCUGCCUUUCCAGGGAUCUGAGCUUCUGAAGGUAGGGACUGAAUCUGUUUUGUUCAGAGCUGGGUCCCAGAGCUCAGCACAGGUAUCUGGAUAUCUUCAUCUUAUGCAUGGAACCCUGGGGGAGAGGGGAGAUGAAGGGAUGAGAUCCUAUGUGUCUGGGGAGGAGCUGGGGAUCCCCACCUCUUGGAGCAGCUCCUCCAGGUAGGAAAAGGUAGGCCUGUCCUCAGGAUGGGGGAGCCCAACAGCGCAAGGCAACAGAGUAGAGGGCCCUGGAGCAGAAAGGAGGCCUCGGUAGCCGGGAUCGGUCCUUCUCCAGCAGCUGCAGGAUGAGGAUCCACCCUAAAUGAGUAAGCACUUGCUGGAGGUACCCUCCCCGGACGCUGGGAAUGUAGGCAGAAACGGACACAGCCUGGCCCUAACAGGCUUCAACCCAGAACACAGGGGUGUUGAUGUUGGUCCAGAAGCUGCCAGACAUCUGGGCUGCUAUGGGAAGCUGCUGUCAUCUGCAUCUCUUGGAGGGAAAGCCCUUCUUGUAUUGGUAAACAACAGGAUGUUCCAGAAUUCUCAAUAGGAAAGUCUUUAUAAUGCAGUUCUACAUGAAUUGUCUUCUUGCCAAUUCUCUUGGCCUCCAAACAGGGCAGCUCAGCACACUAUAAUUGUUCCCUCUGUGCCUGUCAUCCCUGACACACUGUGAACUCCACAGGAUAGGGACAGGGCCAGUCUUAUUUAUCUUUGUGUUCUAAGUGUCUAGGACAAUAUAAACACAGUAUAGUCUAGGCACAAUGCAUAUCAGUUGUAAAGAAAUCUGCUCACAGGGCCCGGGAUUUAGCUCAUGGUGUCACCACCUGCCUCGCAAGCACAAGGUUCCGAGUUUGAUCCCUGGUACAAAAAAAAAAAAAAAAAAAAUCUGCUCAAAACAAGGCAUUUCUGUAAUCCAGAACUCUUAAGAGCCUGAGGUGGGAGGAUUACAAUUUCAAGCACAGUCUGG